Molecule: unclassified non-coding RNA, 313 nt
Filed under: plant metagenome
Description: partial contains 5.8S ribosomal RNA, internal transcribed spacer 2, and large subunit ribosomal RNA
Rfam family: 5.8S ribosomal RNA (bases 1-104)
Source: RNAcentral
GAAAUGCGAUAAUUAAUGUGAAUUGCAGAAUUCAGUGAAUCAUCGAGUCUUUGAACGCACAUUGCGCCCCCUGGUAUUCCGGGGGCAUGCCUGUCCGAGUGUCAUUGCUGCCCUCAAGCACGGCUUGUGUGUUGGGCUUCCGUCCCUGGCAACGGGGACGGGCCCAAAAGGCAGUGGCGGCACCAUGUCUGGUCCUCGAGCGUAUGGGGCUUUGUCACCCGCUCCCGUAGGUCCAGCUGGCAGCUAGCCUCGCAACCAAUCUUUUUAACCAGGUUGACCUCGGAUCAGGUAGGGAUACCCGCUGAACUUAAGC